This 589-nucleotide ribosomal RNA is filed under the name Aureobasidium sp. RNAcentral's name for it is "partial large subunit ribosomal RNA". It matches the Rfam family "Eukaryotic large subunit ribosomal RNA", at positions 11 to 608 of the family's 3401-position model. The record is from RNAcentral. Lineage: Eukaryota; Fungi; Ascomycota; Dothideomycetes; Dothideales; Saccotheciaceae.
UCAGGUAGGGAUACCCGCUGAACUUAAGCAUAUCAAUAAGCGGAGGAAAAGAAACCAACAGGGAUUGCCCUAGUAACGGCGAGUGAAGCGGCAACAGCUCAAAUUUGAAAGCUAGCCUUCGGGUUCGCAUUGUAAUUUGUAGAGGAUACUUUGGGUAAAACGCCAGUCUAAGUUCCUUGGAACAGGACGUCAUAGAGGGUGAGAAUCCCGUAUGUGACUGGAAACGUUGACCUAUGUAAAGUUCCUUCGACGAGUCGAGUUGUUUGGGAAUGCAGCUCUAAAUGGGAGGUAAAUUUCUUCUAAAGCUAAAUAUUGGCGAGAGACCGAUAGCGCACAAGUAGAGUGAUCGAAAGAUGAAAAGCACUUUGGAAAGAGAGUUAAAAAGCACGUGAAAUUGUUGAAAGGGAAGCGCUUGCAAUCAGACUUGUUUAAACUGUUCGGCCGGUCUUCUGACCGGUUUACUCAGUUUGGACAGGCCAGCAUCAGUUUCGGCGGCCGGAUAAAGGCUCUGGGAAUGUGGCCUCCACUUCGGUGGAGGUGUUAUAGCCCAGUGUGUAAUACGGCCAGCCGGGACUGAGGUCCGCGCUCG